Molecule: ribosomal RNA, 793 nt
Filed under: Vreelandella malpeensis
Lineage: Bacteria; Pseudomonadati; Pseudomonadota; Gammaproteobacteria; Oceanospirillales; Halomonadaceae
Description: bacterial SSU rRNA
Rfam family: Bacterial small subunit ribosomal RNA
Source: RNAcentral
GCUUCCCGCUGACGAGCGGCGGACGGGUGAGUAAUGCAUAGGAAUCUGCCCGGUAGUGGGGGAUAACCUGGGGAAACCCAGGCUAAUACCGCAUACGUCCUACGGGAGAAAGGGGGCUCCGGCUCCCGCUAUCGGAUGAGCCUAUGUCGGAUUAGCUGGUUGGUGGGGUAACGGCCCACCAAGGCGACGAUCCGUAGCUGGUCUGAGAGGAUGAUCAGCCACAUCGGGACUGAGACACGGCCCGAACUCCUACGGGAGGCAGCAGUGGGGAAUAUUGGACAAUGGGGGCAACCCUGAUCCAGCCAUGCCGCGUGUGUGAAGAAGGCCUUCGGGUUGUAAAGCACUUUCAGCGAGGAAGAACGCCUGGCGGUUAAUACCCGCCAGGAAAGACAUCACUCGCAGAAGAAGCACCGGCUAACUCCGUGCCAGCAGCCGCGGUAAUACGGAGGGUGCAAGCGUUAAUCGGAAUUACUGGGCGUAAAGCGCGCGUAGGUGGCUAAAUAAGCCGGUUGUGAAAGCCCCGGGCUCAACCUGGGAACGGCAUCCGGAACUGUUUGGCUAGAGUGCAGGAGAGGAAGGUGGAAUUCCCGGUGUAGCGGUGAAAUGCGUAGAGAUCGGGAGGAAUACCAGUGGCGAAGGCGGCCUUCUGGACUGACACUGACACUGAGGUGCGAAAGCGUGGGUAGCAAACAGGAUUAGAUACCCUGGUAGUCCACGCCGUAAACGAUGUCGACCAGCCGUUGGGUGCCUUGUGCACUUUGUGGCGAAGUUAACGCGAUAAGUCGACCGCCUG